UACAGAGGGUGCAAGCGUUGUUCGGAAUUACUGGGCGUAAAGCGCGUGUAGGCGGUCCAGCAAGUCGGGUGUGAAAGCCCUAGGCUUAACCUAGGAACUGCAUUCGAAGCUACUGGACUCGAGUGUCGGAGGGGAUGGCGGAAUUCCCGGUGUAGAGGUGAAAUUCGUAGAUAUCGGGAGGAACACCUGUGGCGAAGGCGGGUCUCUGGGCCGAUACUGACGCUGAGGAGCGAAAGCGUGGGGAGCAAACAGG
This 253-nucleotide ribosomal RNA is filed under the name uncultured bacterium. RNAcentral describes it as "partial 16S ribosomal RNA". It matches the Rfam family "Bacterial small subunit ribosomal RNA", at positions 524 to 776 of the family's 1533-position model. The record is from RNAcentral.